Molecule: ribosomal RNA, 508 nt
Filed under: uncultured bacterium
Lineage: Bacteria
Description: bacterial SSU rRNA
Rfam family: Bacterial small subunit ribosomal RNA
Source: RNAcentral
CGGCGUGCCUAAUACAUGCAAGUCGAACGGCUUUUCUAUGGAAGCUUGCUUCCACUGAGAAGAUAGUGGCGAACGGGUGAGUAACAACGUGGGGUAACCUGCCCAUAAGAGGGGGGAUAACAUCCGGAAACGGGUGCUAAUACCGCAUAGUUUUCUUGAUCGCAUGAUCGGGAAAGGAAAGACGGCCUUUGUGCUGUCGCUUAUGGAUGGACCCGCGGCGUAUUAGUUAGUUGGUGAGGUAACGGCUCACCAAGACGAUGAUACGUAGCCGACCUGAGAGGGUGAUCGGCCACAUUGGGACUGAGACACGGCCCAAACUCCUACGGGAGGCAGCAGUAGGGAAUCUUCCGCAAUGGACGAAAGUCUGACGGAGCAACGCCGCGUGAGUGAAAGAAGGUUUUCGGAUCGUAAAACUCUGUUGUCAGAGAAGAACAAGUUGGAGAGUAACUGCUCCAGCCUUGACGGUAUCUGACCAGAAAGCCACGGCUAACUACGUGCCAGCCGCGGC